This 253-nucleotide ribosomal RNA is filed under the name uncultured bacterium. Its description in RNAcentral is "partial 16S ribosomal RNA". It matches the Rfam family "Bacterial small subunit ribosomal RNA", at positions 524 to 776 of the family's 1533-position model. The record is from RNAcentral.
UACGAAGGGGGCGAGCGUUGUUCGGAUUUACUGGGCGUAAAGCGCGCGUAGGCGGUGAUCUUUGUCAGAGGUGAAAGCCUGGGGCUCAACUCCAGAAUUGCCUUUGAAACGGGAUCGCUUGAGUCCGAGAGAGGAUGGCGGAAUUCCUAGUGUAGAGGUGAAAUUCGUAGAUAUUAGGAAGAACACCGGUGGCGAAGGCGGCCAUCUGGCUCGGUACUGACGCUCAGGCGCGAAAGCGUGGGGAGCAAACAGG